This 587-nucleotide long non-coding RNA is filed under the name Pongo abelii (Sumatran orangutan). Its description in RNAcentral is "lincRNA". The record is from RNAcentral. Lineage: Eukaryota; Metazoa; Chordata; Mammalia; Primates; Hominidae.
GACAGAAAAAUAUGCCUUGGAGACUGCACACAAUUUCCUUCUACUGCUGUUUUGAAAGGUGACCCUGUUUGUAGCACGUUGUUACAGCAGCCCUAGCAAACUAACACGAGAGCGUGUGUGCCCACUGCCGCCCAAGAUGCUGGCCAAUGGGACGGGAGCUUGGCGGCCUCAGCUCAGUCUUGGAAAAUAACGGGAGCCUCCAGUUCCUGAGCGAUCUGUUAUCACUGCAGAUCGGAUUUCCAGUUUGCACGUUCCUCAGGGCUUCCUCCCAGGUGGAAGUGAGGGCGCCCUCUUCUGGCGUCUCCAGCAUCCGCCCGGCCCCUCUCGGCCGGCCACUUAGUGCCGGUUCUCCGCGGGUCUGCAAUUAGAUCCUUGAGGUCCACGCCUGCUUCAUCUUGGCGUCACCUCCACUUCCUAGGGCAGGGCUUCCCCACACAAUAGCCCCUCAGUGCACAUUUGUUGAAUAAGUGAAGGAAUGAAGGAGUUGAGAUGACUUUGAAGCUAAAAUGAGUAGACAUCUGACUUUGUGCCUAAGAGAAAAUUCUUCCUAAGGCUAAGAUUGUUAAAUAAAGGAACUGGUCCACCCA